UUAAUUCAAAACUCAUUGGGAAAAGUAGAAAAACCCACCGAAAUUCGUAGGAAUUACCGAUACACUUUGGUUUAGUAAUUUACUCCCAUUCAGUAUAAAUGAAUAUUUGAUGUGUUACAAUCAUUAGAUGUGAACAAGCCAUCAUAAUGAGGACUACAGUACUUCUUUUGCUUCUGCUUAGUGUUGUAAUUGCACAACGUCCGGGAUAUCUAGGCGGACUUCCCGCAGGUUAUCCAGCCCUAGCUAGUCGAUUUAAAGAAGAAAAUUCCUCACCGGAUCCAACUUCGUCUGCACCAAUAUCCCCUACACCAGCACCAGUAUCGAAUCCACCAGCGCCUCCCUCUGAUGUAAAAUUCUAUUAUAAACCAACAAACGUUCAUUAUCCUCAUUGGUAUCCUACAAAAUACCAUUACAAGGACGUAGAAUAUAAUGAUCAAUUUAUUUUCGAUUAACCUAUCUUUGUGUGUGUGUGUAUUAAUUAAAGAGUAAGUAAACGGC
This is a long non-coding RNA of Photinus pyralis (common eastern firefly), 498 nucleotides long. RefSeq lists it as uncharacterized. The transcript is spliced from 2 exons. Lineage: Eukaryota; Metazoa; Arthropoda; Insecta; Coleoptera; Lampyridae. The record is from RefSeq and is a predicted model, not a curated record.